UAUCACAGAUCUCCAGUGGCUAGGAAGUGGAGCUCAGGGAGCUGUAUUUCUUGGCAAACUCUGUAAUGAAGAAGUAGCAGUCAAGAAGGUCAGAGAUGUUAAAGAGACAGACAUUUGGAACUUAAGGAAACUGAAUCACCCAAACAUUAUAGCCUUCAAUGUUCUUGUGGCAUCCAAUGAUAUUGUCAGGAACCAGCCGAGAGUGGAAUGAAAAAAAAAAGCACUAAAAUGUCAUUUGCUGGCACUGUGACCUGAAUGGCAUCAGAAGUCAUUUGAAAUAAAUAAAAUGUGCAGUGAAAUGAAAAAGUAGACAUUUGGAGUGCAAAGCUCAAAAAUAGACCAUCAUUUAGACAAAUUCUCAUGCACCUUGAGAUUGCCUCUGCUAAAUUACUUUGGUUCAGUCAGGAGGACUUUUCUGAAUCUCAAUGAAGUCCUUAACUGAAAGACACAGAGUCUGUCAUUAUCAUCAAGAUAUUCUAAGAAAGGAUCUGAGGUAUUCUCAUUUUCUAAUUACAAUAUAUGGAUAAAAAACCUGCAAACAACAACACCGCCUAUCGAUAACAUACUAACCUCUAGACCAUCGGAAUGUCCAAAAAACAUUCUUUUGGUCCAGAGUCAUUCGCCUUUUUGCAAAUUACCACCCCAGUGGUCAAUUGUCACUGGUUCGAGCCUUGGUCGGGGCAGUCCCUUAUUUUCAUCGCAUUUAAUUCACUACUUUCUCUCAUUUAAAAACUUGGUCCCAUGUGCUGCUGUUUAUUUAUUUAU
Long non-coding RNA from Biomphalaria glabrata, 765 nucleotides. RefSeq lists it as uncharacterized. The transcript has 3 exons. The record is from RefSeq and is a predicted model, not a curated record. NCBI's taxonomy places the organism in Eukaryota, Metazoa, Mollusca, Gastropoda, Planorbidae.